AUGCAGAGCACCACGCUAGGAGCAAAGAGGGCUUUUAUAAGAAGAUAAAAUGUUGAUCUCUGUUCUUCUAGGCCUAACUUUUCACCUAUGUCCGGCCUUUCCCAGAUGGGUCCUGGCCUUCUCUAGGACAAAUAAUGGCUUCUUCAGCAUUACACAGACACCAGGUUUCAUCAUGUUGACCAGCCUUGUCUGGAACCUCUGGCUCAAACAAUCCUCCCUCCUAGUCCUCUCAAAGUGUUGAAAUCACAGGCUGAGUCCAGGACCCAUGGAAAAGGCUCAUGCACGUACCCAAGGAAUGGAAUACUUUAUUGCAGUUACAGCUCAAAUCUGUGUGUGGGACAGACCAAGAGCUCCUCCUAAUGGCAUAGCCAAGGAAACAGUGAACUGGAACUGCCACCCCCUGAUUUUGAAGAAGGACUCCAUCUAUCUGAAAGUAUUAAUUUAUGAUCAGAUGUGCCCCUGAGGAGCCUACACCACCACUUUCUGUCUGGGUCUCUACUGUAGCUAUGAAACCUGCUACAUUGUCCAUUUCUCAGCACUGUCCAGAAUAAAAUGUUUCUCUUUCUCAGUUCAUCAUUAGAAUGUGGGUUAUUUUCUUCUUAAAGUACCUAAGUUUUAAGACUAGCAGUAGCUGAGUGAAAUAUGUUGGUCUCAUCAAACACUGCACACAGCUAUUUACCU
Molecule: long non-coding RNA, 681 nt
Organism: Callithrix jacchus (white-tufted-ear marmoset)
Lineage: Eukaryota; Metazoa; Chordata; Mammalia; Primates; Cebidae
Source: RefSeq, a predicted model, not a curated record